UACGGGGGGGGCAAGCGUUGUUCGGAAUUACUGGGCGUAAAGGGCUUGUAGGUGGCCAACUAAGUCAGACGUGAAAUCCCUCGGCUUAACCGGGGAACUGCGUCUGAUACUGGAUGGCUUGAGUGUGGGAGAGGGAUGCGGAAUUCCAGGUGUAGCGGUGAAAUGCGUAGAUAUCUGGAGGAACACCGGUGGCGAAGGCGGCAUCCUGGACCGGUAUUGACGCUGAUGCGCGAAAGCCAGGGGAGCAAACGGG
This 253-nucleotide ribosomal RNA is filed under the name uncultured bacterium. RNAcentral describes it as "partial 16S ribosomal RNA". It matches the Rfam family "Bacterial small subunit ribosomal RNA", at positions 524 to 776 of the family's 1533-position model. The record is from RNAcentral.